GACGAACGCUGGCGGCGUGCCUAAUACAUGCAAGUAGAACGCACAGUUUAUACCGUAGCUUGCUACACCAUAGACUGUGAGUUGCGAACGGGUGAGUAACGCGUAGGUAACCUGCCUGGUAGCGGGGGAUAACUAUUGGAAACGAUAGCUAAUACCGCAUAAUAUUAAUUAUUGCAUGAUAAUUGAUUGAAAGAUGCGACUGCAUCACUACCAGAUGGACCUGCGUUGUAUUAGCUAGUAGGUGAGGUAACGGCUCACCUAGGCGACGAUACAUAGCCGACCUGAGAGGGUGAUCGGCCACACUGGGACUGAGACACGGCCCAGACUCCUACGGGAGGCAGCAGUAGGGAAUCUUCGGCAAUGGACGAAAGUCUGACCGAGCAACGCCGCGUGAGUGAAGAAGGUUUUCGGAUCGUAAAGCUCUGUUGUAAGAGAAGAACGGGUGUGAGAGUGGAAAGUUCACACUGUGACGGUAUCUUACCAGAAAGGGACGGCUAACUACGUG
RNAcentral lists this ribosomal RNA (505 nucleotides) under uncultured bacterium. Its description in RNAcentral is "partial 16S ribosomal RNA". It matches the Rfam family "Bacterial small subunit ribosomal RNA", at positions 28 to 507 of the family's 1533-position model. The record is from RNAcentral.